UACCAGCUCUCCGAGUGGUAGGGAUGAUUAUUGGGCUUAAAGCGUCCGUAGCCGGCUUAGCAAGUCUCCUGUUAAAUUCAGCGACCUAAUCGUUGAGCCGCGGGAGAUACUACUAGGCUAGGAGGCGGGAGAGGUCAACGGUACUUCCGGGGUAGGGGUGAAAUCCUAUAAUCCCGGGAGGACCACCAGUGGCGAAGGCUGUUGACUAGAACGCGCUCGACGGUGAGGGACGAAAGCUGGGGAGCGAACCGGAUUAGGUACCCGGGUAGUCCCAGCUGUAAACGAUGCGAGCUAGGUGUUGGGGUGGCUACGUGCCACUUCAGUGCCGCAGGGAAGCCAUUAAGCUCGCCGCCUGGGGAGUACGGCCGCAAGGCUGAAACUUAAAGGAAUUGGCGGGGGAGCACCACAAGGCGUGAAGCUUGCGGUUC
RNAcentral lists this ribosomal RNA (428 nucleotides) under uncultured archaeon. Its description in RNAcentral is "bacterial SSU rRNA". It matches the Rfam family "Archaeal small subunit ribosomal RNA", at positions 474 to 903 of the family's 1478-position model. The record is from RNAcentral.